Long non-coding RNA from Sorex fumeus (smoky shrew), 358 nucleotides. RefSeq lists it as uncharacterized. Lineage: Eukaryota; Metazoa; Chordata; Mammalia; Eulipotyphla; Soricidae. The record is from RefSeq and is a predicted model, not a curated record. The transcript is spliced from 3 exons.
GUUUUCUGGUCCUGCCCUCAGUCUUCAGAGUUCUGACACUUCCCUGGGGUCCAGGCCUAGAGAGCUGCUCUGUGGCCUCAGGACCCAGUGCUCUUCCUCACCUUCCCUGGGAUGUUUCCUUCCCGCAGGUGAGAAAGGAGGACAGUACACUCAGGCUGCAAACAGCGACAGUUCCCAAGGCUCUGAUGAGUCUCUCUCGAAUCCUAGAGUGUGAGACAGCUGCCCCGCUGGGUUUCCUCACAUCCCAGUGUUGUUAUUCAAGAACUGCUGAUUCUCUUUCUGCCCUGGGACCUGAGUGUGUCUGUCCUGCCACUUACGGUGAUGGGAGAGACUGGCCCACCCCUGCCCACCGGGCCCU